Molecule: ribosomal RNA, 388 nt
Filed under: Eggerthellaceae bacterium
Lineage: Bacteria; Bacillati; Actinomycetota; Coriobacteriia; Eggerthellales; Eggerthellaceae
Description: partial 23S ribosomal RNA
Rfam family: Bacterial large subunit ribosomal RNA
Source: RNAcentral
GGGCCCCCGAAAAUCUAACGAUUUUUGGGGUGGUUUGCCGAGGGUGGCACAGGUUUGAAACCUUCUCCCCUCUCCCAAAAGUUCGGAACAUGGGUGAGACAGUUCGGUCCCUAUCCUCCGUGGGCGCAAGGGAAUUGAGGAGAUCUGCCCCUAGUACGAGAGGACCGGGGUGGACGGACCUCUGGUGACGCGGUUGUUAACCAAUAGCAUUGCCGCUUAGCUACGUCCGGAACGGAUAACCGCUGAAAGCAUCUAAGUGGGAAGCCGUCUCCAAGAUGAGUUCCCUUUUCGGUAAGGACCCUUGUAGACUACAAGGUUGAUAGGUUGCAGCUGUAAGUACAGUAAUGUAUUCAGGCGAGCAAUACUAAUAGUCCGAGCUCUUCAUUUU